RNAcentral lists this unclassified non-coding RNA (206 nucleotides) under Hevea brasiliensis (rubber tree). Lineage: Eukaryota; Viridiplantae; Streptophyta; Magnoliopsida; Malpighiales; Euphorbiaceae. The record is from RNAcentral.
GUGAUAGCGUCGGCGGGGCUGGGGAUGCUGGCGGGGGUGGCCAUGGCGAACCGGACCAUGGGCGGCGGCGGCGACGGGCGGCAGCUGCCGGCGGCGUCGAGGUGGGACGCGCGGCCACGGUGCGCCACGUGCGGCGGCAGCGGCCGCGUCGACUGCCUCUGCAACCGCUGGUCCGACGGCGACUCCGGCUGCCGCACCUGCGCCGG